AUGAGCGGUUACGUGUGUGUGCGUGUUUCUGUGUCUGUGCUAACACACACACACACACACACACACACACACACACACACGGACAGACAGAGA
Molecule: microRNA precursor, 93 nt
Filed under: Poecilia formosa (Amazon molly)
Lineage: Eukaryota; Metazoa; Chordata; Actinopteri; Cyprinodontiformes; Poeciliidae
Description: miRNA (ENSPFOG00000021156.1)
Source: RNAcentral